UACAGAGGUCCCGAGCGUUGUUCGGAUUCACUGGGCGUAAAGGGUGCGUAGGUGGCGAGGUAAGUCGGAUGUGAAAGCUCGGAGCUCAACUCCGAAAUGGCAUUGGAAACUACCUUGCUCGAGGGUUGGAGGGGGGACUGGAAUACUUGGUGUAGCAGUGAAAUGCGUAGAUAUCGUAAGGAAGACCAGUGGCGAAGGCGAGUCUCUGGACAGCAACUGACGCUGAGGCACGAAGGCCAGGGGAGCAAACGGG
RNAcentral lists this ribosomal RNA (253 nucleotides) under uncultured bacterium. RNAcentral describes it as "partial 16S ribosomal RNA". It matches the Rfam family "Bacterial small subunit ribosomal RNA", at positions 524 to 776 of the family's 1533-position model. The record is from RNAcentral.